GACUUACGUUGAAAAGUGAGCGGAUGAACUGAGGGUAGCGGAGAAAUUCCAAUCGAACCUGGAGAUAGCUGGUUCUCUCCGAAAUAGCUUUAGGGCUAGCCUCAAGUGAUGAUUAUUGGAGGUAGAGCACUGUUUGGACGAGGGGCCCCUCUCGGGUUACCGAAUUCAGACAAACUCCGAAUGCCAAUUAAUUUAACUUGGGAGUCAGAACAUGGGUGAUAAGGUCCGUGUUCGAAAGGGAAACAGCCCAGACCACCAGCUAAGGUCCCAAAAUAUAUGUUAAGUGGAAAAGGAUGUGGCGUUGCCCAGACAACUAGGAUGUUGGCUUAGAAGCAGCCAUCAUUUAAAGAGUGCGUAAUAGCUCACUAGUCGAGUGACACUGCGCCGAAAAUGUACCGGGGCUAAACAUAUUACCGAAGCUGUGGAUUGUCCUUUGGACAAUGGUAGGAGAGCGUUCUAAGGGCGUUGAAGCAUGAUCGUAAGGACAUGUGGAGCGCUUAGAAGUGAGAAUGCCGGUGUGAGUAGCGAAAGACGGGUGAGAAUCCCGUCCACCGAUUGACUAAGGUUUCCAGAGGAAGGCUCGUCCGCUCUGGGUUAGUCGGGUCCUAAGCUGAGGCCGACAGGCGUAGGCGAUGGAUAACAGGUUGAUAUUCCUGUACCACCUAUAAUCGUUUUAAUCGAUGGGGGGACGCAGUAGGAUAGGCGAAGCGUGCGAUUGGAUUGCACGUCUAAGCAGUAAGGCUGAGUAUUAGGCAAAUCCGGUACUCGUUAAGGCUGAGCUGUGAUGGGGAGAAGACAUUGAGUCUUCGAGUCGUUGAUUUCACACUGCCGAGAAAAGCCUCUAGAUAGAAAAUAGGUGCCCGUACCGCAAACCGACACAGGUAGUCAAGAUGAGAAUUCUAAGGUGAGCGAGCGAACUCUCGUUAAGGAACUCGGCAAAAUGACCCCGUAACUUCGGGAGAAGGGGUGCUCUUUAGGGUUAACGCCCAGAAGAGCCGCAGUGAAUAGGCCCAAGCGACUGUUUAUCAAAAACACAGGUCUCUGCUAAACCGUAAGGUGAUGUAUAGGGGCUGACGCCUGCCCGGUGCUGGAAGGUUAAGAGGAGUGGUUAGCUUCUGCGAAGCUACGAAUCGAAGCCCCAGUAAACGGCGGCCGUAACUAUAACGGUCCUAAGGUAGCGAAAUUCCUUGUCGGGUAAGUUCCGACCCGCACGAAAGGCGUAACGAUUUGGGCACUGUCUCAACGAGAGACUCGGUGAAAUCAUAGUACCUGUGAAGAUGCAGGUUACCCGCGACAGGACGGAAAGACCCCGUGGAGCUUUACUGUAGCCUGAUAUUGAAAUUCGGCACAGCUUGUACAGGAUAGGUAGGAGCCUUUGAAACGUGAGCGCUAGCUUACGUGGAGGCGCUGGUGGGAUACUACCCUAGCUGUGUUGGCUUUCUAACCCGCACCACUUAUCGUGGUGGGAGACAGUGUCAGGCGGGCAGUUUGACUGGGGCGGUCGCCUCCUAAAAGGUAACGGAGGCGCUCAAAGGUUCCCUCAGAAUGGUUGGAAAUCAUUCAUAGAGUGUAAAGGCAUAAGGGAGCUUGACUGCGAGACCUACAAGUCGAGCAGGGUCGAAAGACGGACUUAGUGAUCCGGUGGUUCCGCAUGGAAGGGCCAUCGCUCAACGGAUAAAAGCUACCCCGGGGAUAACAGGCUUAUCUCCCCCAAGAGUUCACAUCGACGGGGAGGUUUGGCACCUCGAUGUCGGCUCAUCGCAUCCUGGGGCUGUAGUCGGUCCCAAGGGUUGGGCUGUUCGCCCAUUAAAGCGGUACGCGAGCUGGGUUCAGAACGUCGUGAGACAGUUCGGUCCCUAUCCGUCGUGGGCGUAGGAAAUUUGAGAGGAGCUGUCCUUAGUACGAGAGGACCGGGAUGGACAUACCUCUGGUGUACCAGUUGUCGUGCCAACGGCAUAGCUGGGUAGCUAUGUGUGGACGGGAUAAGUGCUGAAAGCAUCUAAGCAUGAAGCCCCCCUCAAGAUGAGAUUUCCCAACUUCGGUUAUAAGAUCCCUCAAAGAUGAUGAGGUUAAUAGGUUCGAGGUGGAAGCAUGGUGACAUGUGGAGCUGACGAAUACUAAUCGAUCGAAGACUUAAUCAA
RNAcentral lists this ribosomal RNA (2141 nucleotides) under Staphylococcus aureus DAR3150. RNAcentral describes it as "bacterial LSU rRNA". It matches the Rfam family "Bacterial large subunit ribosomal RNA", at positions 781 to 2925 of the family's 2925-position model. Lineage: Bacteria; Bacillati; Bacillota; Bacilli; Caryophanales; Staphylococcaceae. The record is from RNAcentral.